Molecule: ribosomal RNA, 450 nt
Filed under: uncultured bacterium
Lineage: Bacteria
Description: bacterial SSU rRNA
Rfam family: Bacterial small subunit ribosomal RNA
Source: RNAcentral
GUGGGGAAUUUUGGACAAUGGGCGCAAGCCUGAUCCAGCCAUGCCGCGUGCAGGAUGAAGGCCUUCGGGUUGUAAACUGCUUUUGUACGGAACGAAAAAGCUCUCUCUAAUACAGGGGGUGAAUGACGGUACCGUAAGAAUAAGCACCGGCUAACUACGUGCCAGCAGCCGCGGUAAUACGUAGGGUGCAAGCGUUAAUCGGAAUUACUGGGCGUAAAGCGUGCACAGGCGGUUAUGUAAGACAGAGGUGAAAUCCCCGGGCUCAACCUGGGAACUGCCUUUGUGACUGCAUAGCUGGAGUGCGGCAGAGGGGGAUGGAAUUCCGCGUGUAGCAGUGAAAUGCGUAGAUAUGCGGAGGAACACCGAUGGCGAAGGCAAUCCCCUGGGCCUGCACUGACGCUCAUGCACGAAAGCGUGGGGAGCAAACAGGAUUAGAAACCCCAGUAGUCC